UUUUUUUUGUAAUUAGACAGUAGAACUCCUUUAUACAUCCUGAACCUUGUGUGAAGACAAUUUCCCCUCGUGUUUUUCAGCAAAUCAUGUUUGUCUUGCAAAUCGGGAGCCCAGCGCAGACAGACAGCUGCAACAGCGACGGUGAGCGGCCCCCACGCCGUGGACAAGGCGGUGCUGCUGCAGUACAGCGUCAACAACGGCAUCACGUGGCACGUCAUCGCGCAGCACCAGCCCAAGGACUUCACUCAGGCCCAGAGAGUGUCGUACAACGUCCCCCUGGAGGCCCGGAUGAAAGGAGUUUUAUUGCGCUGGUGGCAGCCACGCCACAAUGGAACAGGUCAUGAUCAGUGGGCUUUGGACCAUGUGGAGGUCGUCUUCACUCGCAAACAAAAUUACAUGAUGAAUUUUUCUCGACAACAUGGCUCAGGCACUUCUACAACAGAAGACGAAGGUCACUUAGACGAUACCCAUGAAGAAUCAAAAAGUUAUUUUUCCUUCCAACAUGUGAUGUGUUUGCUUUCCAUUCUUUGAAAUCUCGCACUGCAUCUGAUAUCAGGAAAUUUCUGUGAAGGACACGGUGAUUCACUGAAAGCCCUUCUCAAGACCGAGUGUACCACUUUCCCACACUGUGAACUAAUGACAAGUGACUUAUUUUCUCACAAGUAAAUGUCUUCAUGUUGAUGUGUCCGUGAAAAUUGUGAUCUGUUGUAAUAUCUGUUACAGUGGCAGUAUUGGAAAAUAAGAAAUAGUUUAACAGAAAAAAAAAGUUUUAAGCACAAAAAUUUAAGAGAUUUUAUGUUUAAAAUGGCAUUUAGUACAGUAUUUAACAUUCUUGGUCACAAAGCUAUUUAAGUGGACUGUAUUUCAGCUAUGUAUCAUGUUUUAUAUGAUUAAAUUAUCAUUGUCCUUUUAUGUAUUCUCUUCUACAAUAUAAUACAUUGACACUGUAUUUACUUAUGUUGCAAUAUUUUGCUGCUGAAUUUCCGGCUACUUAUAUUCUGCAGAAAAUUCAUUGAAAUACCUACUCAAGAAGAUAGUUGUAAAGAUACUGUAUCUCCUUUAAUAUACUCCUUAAAAUGUAUGUUGGUUUAGCGUUGUUUUGUGGAUAAGAAAAAUGCUUGACAUUGAAAUAUUUUCUACUUAAAAAUUGUGGAUGAAAACUCUAUCUCUCACAAAGGAGUUCCCAUUUCCUUGUCUAAAGAUUUUUUUUUUAAGUGUUCCGUGGCUGAUUUACUAACAGUAACUGCCAUUUGUGUCUGUGGUAACAGAGUGAUUUGUAAAACAGUGGAUGUUUUCAUUGUGUUCUCUUUGUGGAUUGUUUUCCUGCGGGUCAUAUUCAUACAUUCUGAUGAAGUUGUACCAACACCAGCAACAUUAUAAUGGACCUGUCGCCCUGAACUCCGUAUUAACCGAACUAAAAGGUUGCAUUCUAAGGUGAACCAAGCUAAAAGCCCAUACUUAAAUAAAAAUUAUAUCCAAAAGCCAUUUGAAGCUCAUUUGUCUUUAUUCAUUCUUAAUUAAAUUUUGUGUAGGAUUUGUAAGUUUGGUCAGGCUUGGAAAGAACAAUGUCAAAUAUAUUUACUGGUGUUUCAUUUCAUCACCGAGAAUAGCAAUUAUGAAUUUAGCCAUUUUUCUCUUAUUCGGCUUUUUCUAUUAGUUACUCUGUAAUUACACUAAGAAAAGUCAAUAAAGAGUUCUGAAAAUUUUUGAACUCCUGAGAAUUUUGUAAGCUGCUAAUAUAGUGCCUCGUGAUAAGCACUCAGGCAUUCAGUAAACAUUUGCUGAGUGCUUGCUAUGUGCCUGGCACUAUGCUAAGUGUUGAGGAUAAAAAUAGUGAUUGAGACAUUUUCUCUGCUUGUUUUUAACAUAUACAAAAUUAAAAGUUUGUUGAUACUGUU
Rhinolophus ferrumequinum (greater horseshoe bat) is the source of this 1898-nucleotide long non-coding RNA. NCBI's taxonomy places the organism in Eukaryota, Metazoa, Chordata, Mammalia, Chiroptera, Rhinolophidae. The record is from Ensembl.